Molecule: ribosomal RNA, 96 nt
Filed under: uncultured archaeon
Lineage: Archaea
Source: RNAcentral
CAGCGGUCAUAGGGGAAAGGAAACACCCGUUCCCAUUCCGAACACGGAAGUUAAGCUUUCCUACGACUGUACGAGUACUGAACUGAUGUUCGGGAA